Molecule: long non-coding RNA, 961 nt
Filed under: Homo sapiens (human)
Lineage: Eukaryota; Metazoa; Chordata; Mammalia; Primates; Hominidae
Description: HSALNT0274250
Source: RNAcentral
AGACACUUCACGCCUGCACUCACGCCUCACAGCCACACACACGGGCACACCCACAGUGGGCACGCUCACACCCCAGUCACGCACACACACACAUCCACACACCUCCCUCUGCUGCUUCCUCCCUCAAGUGCCCGCACCCCCAUGCGUCCCCGUACAGUCCCAGUCAGGGCCGCUCCCCUGCACCCCCCGUCAUUUCCCACUUCCGUUCCCAGCACCGGCAUUCGGCAUUUGCCGCGGGCCGAGGGCUGGUGCGACAGAAGCCCUGCCAGCGCCACGAGCCGACGCCCCUGUAAAAGCGGCUGUUCCGCGCACACAGGAGCCGCCUCUGGCCUGCCAGACACGUCCUGCCCGGAGGACCACAGACCCGAGGCCGGCUAGGACCAGAGGACCGCGGCUCACUGGCCAUCAGCAGGCUCACAGGGUCCCCUCGCAGCACCCAGGGGGCUGGGGCCCGGCCGACCACUGAGAGAACUCGCCGUGCAUCCCCUGCCGGCCUCCCUGCUCAGGGGCAGCUGGGACGUGGGCAGCCGCCUUUCAGACUCUAGCCAGGGUCCCGGAUGUGGGGAAGGCCACCCAUCAGGCGAGUGUAUGUGAGACGUGGGGACAACGGGGGCACCCCACGGAGACACCAGCUUGUCCUGCCGCGUUCUCCAUAUGCUGGAGUGGGGGUGGCUGCAGGCGCAGCUGCUUCCCCUGGCUCAUCUGGCUUUCAGGUGGUCACGGCUGUGCGGGUCUGUUCCCCAGCUCCCGGGGGUGCAAGGCAGUGGCAACGCAGCGGCCCUGGUGGCUUUAUGCUCCCGGCACGGCUCCGGGGGGGCUGCCGUGGUGACAGUGCCUGGUGGGGCGGCACUCUGUGCCUGAGUCUCCCAGGAGGCCCGUCUGGAGUCUGCAGCCCAUCCUGGGUCCUGUGAUACCCCUUCCCUGUGUUCAAUCCCUUCCUGCUCAGAGUCCUUGGGGCCAC